This 253-nucleotide ribosomal RNA is filed under the name uncultured bacterium. Its description in RNAcentral is "partial 16S ribosomal RNA". It matches the Rfam family "Bacterial small subunit ribosomal RNA", at positions 524 to 776 of the family's 1533-position model. The record is from RNAcentral.
UACGUAGGGUGCAAGCGUUGUCCGGAAUUAUUGGGCGUAAAGAGCUCGUAGGCGGUCUGUCGCGCCGGCUGUGAAAACCCGGGGCUCAACCCCGGGCCUGCAGUCGAUACGGGCAGACUAGAGUGCGGUAGGGGAGACUGGAAUUCCUGGUGUAGCGGUGAAAUGCGCAGAUAUCAGGAGGAACACCGGUGGCGAAGGCGGGUCUCUGGGCCGUAACUGACGCUGAGGAGCGAAAGCGUGGGGAGCGAACAGG